This 465-nucleotide ribosomal RNA is filed under the name Vreelandella stevensii. RNAcentral's name for it is "partial 16S ribosomal RNA". It matches the Rfam family "Bacterial small subunit ribosomal RNA", at positions 338 to 795 of the family's 1533-position model. Lineage: Bacteria; Pseudomonadati; Pseudomonadota; Gammaproteobacteria; Oceanospirillales; Halomonadaceae. The record is from RNAcentral.
CCUACGGGAGGCUGCAGUGGGGAAUAUUGGACAAUGGGGGCAACCCUGAUCCAGCCAUGCCGCGUGUGUGAAGAAGGCCCUCGGGUUGUAAAGAACUUUCAGUGAGGAAGAACGCCUGGUGGUUAAUACCCAUCAGGAAAGACAUCACUCACAGAAGAAGCACCGGCUAACUCCGUGCCAGCAGCCGCGGUAAUACGGAGGGUGCGAGCGUUAAUCGGAAUUACUGGGCGUAAAGCGCGCGUAGGUGGCUUGAUAAGCCGGUUGUGAAAGCCCCGGGCUCAACCUGGGAACGGCAUCCGGAACUGUCAAGCUAGAGUGCAGGAGAGGAAGGUAGAAUUCCCGGUGUAGCGGUGAAAUGCGUAGAGAUCGGGAGGAAUACCAGUGGCGAAGGCGGCCUUCUGGACUGACACUGACACUGAGGUGCGAAAGCGUGGGUAGCAAACAGGAUUAGAUACCCCUGUAGUC